This 82-nucleotide transfer RNA is filed under the name Echinostoma caproni. It matches the Rfam family "tRNA". From Rfam's summary of the family: Transfer RNA (tRNA) molecules are approximately 80 nucleotides in length. Their secondary structure includes four short double-helical elements and three loops (D, anti-codon, and T loops). Further hydrogen bonds mediate the characteristic L-shaped molecular structure. tRNAs have two regions of fundamental functional importance: the anti-codon, which is responsible for specific mRNA codon recognition, and the 3' end, to which the tRNAs corresponding amino acid is attached (by aminoacyl-tRNA synthetases). tRNAs cope with the degeneracy of the genetic code in two manners: having more than one tRNA (with a specific anti-codon) for a particular amino acid; and 'wobble' base-pairing, i.e. permitting non-standard base-pairing at the 3rd anti-codon position. Lineage: Eukaryota; Metazoa; Platyhelminthes; Trematoda; Plagiorchiida; Echinostomatidae. The record is from Rfam by way of RNAcentral.
GGCCUCGUAGCUCAGCUGGUAGAGCGCGCACGUGCAAAGCGUCGGCAGUGUCCAUACGCGGGUUCGAAUCCCACCGAGGUUA